This 253-nucleotide ribosomal RNA is filed under the name uncultured bacterium. Its description in RNAcentral is "partial 16S ribosomal RNA". It matches the Rfam family "Bacterial small subunit ribosomal RNA", at positions 524 to 776 of the family's 1533-position model. The record is from RNAcentral.
UACGUAGGGUGCAAGCGUUGUCCGGAAUUAUUGGGCGUAAAGAGCUCGUAGGCGGCUUGUCGCGUCGGCUGUGAAAACCUGGGGCUCAACCCCGGGCCUGCAGCCGAUACGGGCAAGCUAGAAUUCGGUAGGGGAGACUGGAAUUCCUGGUGUAGCGGUGAAAUGCGCAGAUAUCAGGAGGAACACCGGUGGCGAAGGCGGGUCUCUGGACAGUUCCUGACGCUGAGGCGCGAAGGCCAGGGGAGCAAACGGG